Molecule: ribosomal RNA, 492 nt
Filed under: uncultured bacterium
Lineage: Bacteria
Description: partial 16S ribosomal RNA
Rfam family: Bacterial small subunit ribosomal RNA
Source: RNAcentral
AGUGAACGCUGGCGAUAGGCCUAACACAUGCAAGUCGAACGGCAGCACAGUAAGAGCUUGCUCUUACGGGUGGCGAGUGGCGGACGGGUGAGGCAUACAUCGGAAUCUACUUUUUCGUGGGGGAUAACGUAGGGAAACUUACGCUAAUACCGCAUACGACCUACGGGUGAAAGCAGGGGAUCUUCGGACCUUGCGCGAUUGAAUGAGCCGAUGUCGGAUUAGCUAGUUGGCGGGGUAAAGGCCCACCAAGGCGACGAUCCGUAGCUGGUCUGAGAGGAUGAUCAGCCACACUGGAACUGAGACACGGUCCAGACUCCUACGGGAGGCAGCAGUGGGGAAUAUUGGACAAUGGGCGCAAGCCUGAUCCAGCCAUACCGCGUGGGUGAAGAAGGCCUUCGGGUUGUAAAGCCCUUUUGUUGGGAAAGAAAAGCAGCAGGUUAAUACCCCGCUGUUCUGACGGUACCCAAAGAAUAAGCACCGGCUAACUUCGUG